RNAcentral lists this long non-coding RNA (6411 nucleotides) under Sus scrofa (pig). Its description in RNAcentral is "lncRNA (ENSSSCG00015000945.1)". Lineage: Eukaryota; Metazoa; Chordata; Mammalia; Artiodactyla; Suidae. The record is from RNAcentral.
AUUUUGAGUUUACUUUUGUGUAUGGUGUUAGGAAGUGUUCUAAUUUCAUUCUUUUACAUGUGGCUGUCCAAUUUGCCCAGCACAACUUAUUGAAGGGGCUGUCUUUUUUCCAUUGUAUAUUCUUGCCUCCUUUGUUAUAGAUUGUAGGUACGUGGGUUUAAUUCUGGGCUCUCUAUCCUAUUCCACUGAUCUAUAUUUCUGUUUUUUGUGCCAGUACCAUAGAGUUUUGAUGACUGUCACUUUGUGGUAUAGUCUGAAGUCAGGGACCCUGAUUCCUCCAGCUACAUUUUUCUUUCUCAGGAUGGAUUUGGCUAUUCUGGGUCUUUUGUGCUUCCAAACAAACUUUAAGAUAUUUUGUUCUAGUUCUGCGAAAAAAUGCCCUUGGCAUUGAAUCUGUAGAUUGCCUUGGGUAGUAUAGUCAUUUUGAUAAUAUUACUCUUCCAACCCAAGAGCAUGGUAUGUCUUCCCAUCUGUUUGCAUCAUCUUUGAUUUCUUUCAUCAGUGUCUUAUAGUUUUUAGAAUACAGGUCUUUUGUCUCUUUAGGUAGGUUUAUUCCUAAGUAUUCUUUUUUGAUGCGAUGGUACAUGGUAUUAUUUCCCUAAUUUCUCUUUCUGAUCUUUUGUUGUUAGUAUUUAGAAAUGCCAUCAAUUUCUGUGUAUUAAUUUUGUAUCCUGAGACUUUGCCAAAUUCAUUGAUGUGCUUUAACAGUUUUCUGGUAGCAACUUUAAGAUUUUCUAGGUAUAGUAUCAUGUCAUCUGAAAAUAGUGAUAGUUUUGCUUCUUCCUUUCCAAUUUGGAUUCCUUUUAUUUUUUUUCUUCUCUGAUUGCCAUGGCUAGGACUUCCAAAACUAUGUUGAAUAGUUGUGGCAAGAGCGGAUAUCUUUGUCUUGCUCCUGAUCUCAGCGGGAAUUCUUUCAGCUUUUCACCAUUGAGAAUGAUGUUAGCUCUGUGUUUGUCAUAUAUGGCCUUUAUUAUGUUGAGGUAGAUUCCCACUAUGCCCACUUUCUGAAGGGUUUUUUAUCAGAAAUGGGUGUUGGAUUUUUUUAAAGACUUUUUCUGCAUCUAUUGAGAGGGUCAUAUGGUUUUUAUUCUUCAGUUUGUUAAUGUGGUAUAUUACACUGAUUGAUUUGCAGAUAUUAAAGAAUCCUUGCAUCCCUGGGAUAAAUCCCACUUGAUCAUGAUGUACAAUCCUCUUGGUGUAUUGUUGGAUUCAGUUUGGUAGUAUUUUGUUGAGGAUUUUUGCAUCUAUGUUCAUCAGUAAAAUUGGCCUUUAAUUUUAUGUGUGUGUGUGCUAUCUUUGUCUGGUUUUGGUAUCAGGGUGACAGCAGCUUCAUAGAAUGAGUUUGGGAAUGUCCCUUCCCCUGGGAUCUUUUGGAAUAGUUUCAGAAGGAGAGGUGUUAGCUCUUCUCUAAAUGUUUGAUAGGCAACCAUCUGCAUGUGUUGCAGAACUUGCUGCUGGUGAAUCGAAACUAGAGAAUUAAUGUUGAGCUAAAUGUACAUGCAGGGAGAAAGAACAAGCUAAAGAAAAUCCUCUUGGCUGUUUUCCACAGUUGGUGGUGACUGAUGGAAAAAUCCCUGCCAGUCAGUGGGGAGUGGCUGCCAGCUGGCAUAGCAAAGGAUCUGAGAGCACAGUGGUCCAAUAGGAAAAGGAUUCCUAAAGUUUCUGCUUUCUGGGAGUGUGUGUGUGUGUGUGUGUGUGUGUGUGUGUGUGUAAGACAGUGAAAGUAACUUCUAAAAAAGGAGAGGCAAAGGGAACAGACAAAGAAGGUAAUUCAAAACUAAGAAAGCAGAGGAUCAAUAGUAAAAAUGGAGGCCAAAAAAGAUAAGAAAAUUAAUCGGAGAAAUGAAUAGGAUACACAUAGGAAAAGAGUGAUAAGGGAGACAAAUCUACUCUGGCUCAAGUGGCAGAAGGAAAAGUUCAGUCUGUGAAUGGGGUCAGCAAAGCCAUCUCUUCCAGCUUGUUUGAGAACCAGCUAUGCUGGGACCCAAGUGCAAGUGUUUACUCUGCAAGUUUACGCUAAGUUUAUUUGUCAGUCCUGAUCUUGUGUGAAUUAGGAAAUAAAAUGCUUGACCUUGCCCCUCCCCUUCCUCUUGUGGAUGAAAGCCAAGGCUCAGGAACCCUCUCCAUCAACAGCCCCUCAUGGGGCCUGUCCUAUCCAACACCUCCACUAGGGGUCCCACUAGUCUUAUCCCCACAAACCAUGCUUUCCUGCAGAUAGCACAGCCUCCUGCAUGCUCUUCUCGGCUUGUGCUCCACAGAUGAAUAUUACCAGAGAAAUGUCUCAUUCUUACUCAAGAGGCACUUGCGUUUUUUUUUUAAUUGAAAUUUUGUUGACAUACAUUAUCUGUACAUCAGGUGUACUACAUAAUAAUUUGACAUUAUGCAGGUAUUUUUAUCUUCCAAAUGCUACUGUGCUAAUAUUCUGUGCUAAUGAGACCAGGUUACACACAACUUCAGGUUGUUCUUUCCAAACCAGGCAAUGUGCGGUUGGACAGAUUUUCCAUAUAAACAUGCCCUGUCUUUUGUUAUCCAAGCCAAGGUUGCUGCUCUAACCAUGAACAUCAAAUCUAGUCAAAAUGAAGUUCCAUAGAAUAUGGGAGAGAGAAGUCUUGGUCUUUGUCACAAUAGGGUCUAAUACAUUGCCAUCUCUCUUCCCAAAUACACUUCAUCUGGUGUGGGUAAUAUAAUCUACCCAAGCAUUAGAAUAUUCAUCUGAGUGGGGUAUUUUUAUAACAACAGAGAAUUAUGAACAGGCCAUUAAAGGUCUGAGUUUGCAGGUCUCCUCUGUCAUGUACAUCCUGGUGCAUAACUUAAUUUUAAAAUGGGAGAAAAAGAAAAAUUAUUGCUAGCAUUAUGAUGUUGGAUAAGGUUUAUAAUAGCAAUAAUCCCCCAUGAAAACAGUUGUUAUCAUAGUUAAUGCCCAUUUUGUCACUGUGUUAACCUUCCCUGGCUCUGCCUCGGGCCAUUAAAUGGCCAACCAUUUGUUAAGCACCCUAGAGCAAGCAAUUUCAGGAGGAAUGUUGCUGAGCUCAUUUGCUAAGUAAAACACCUGAGAAGACAGUGAUAAACUCUGCAUAGGUUCACAUAUACACAUGCAUCCUUAUACAUACUUAACCCAGGUCCUUUUUAAAAGAAUAUUCUGCGUUACAAUUCCUUGGUAUCAUGCUUACUAAGACAGGCUAUGCCAAAUUUGGGAUCUCAGAUUGUUGCCCUAACUAUUCCCUGCCAUUCUUUCCCAGGUCCAGCUGGUAUCAAUAUUUAAAGUGUUUUACAAUUUUAACUCUGGCCCUAAAGAAUAGACCAGCCCUUUAAAAUGUUCAAAGGGCAUAAAUAAAAAACAAAAUUAAAAUAAUGUUGCUUGAAAGCAAGAGAAAAACAGGAAAAUGAAGGGAUAAGAUAUGUCUAACAUCUGGGAAUAUCUAUCCCUCAAAUCAACACAGCUUUGCUAAUUUAUUCAGAUAAUUAGAUGUAUUCAAUGCUUUAUACAUAUUAACUCUUCUAACUGUUACACAUUCUUUACAAAGUCAAUAUUAUUAAUAGUCCCAACUGAUGGGUGAAGAAACAGAAUUUGAACCCGGGUUGUUUGACUUCAGAUCCAAGCUUUUCGCUACCAUGAUAUAACAUACCAAUCUCCGUUUCAAAACAAACAGGCAAGAUUUCGAAAAAUACUGGCUCCUCUCAUUUGCAUUAUGCGUCAGUUCUGUACCAAACAAGAUGAUGGUUACUGGUUACUAAUAUUUGUUAAGAUCAACUAUUUAUUAUGGUCCAGGGAGGAUCAUUCAAAUAAAUCAUGUCCAAGUAUGAGCUGGGUUUCAAAGUCACAGCAAAACAGAACUCCAUGGCCUACAUACUGAUCAAGGGUAUUGUAGUAGAUUUUAUUAAAAUCUGUUUAUUCUUUAUUAGAUGACUUUCUGAUAGGUUACCAUGGAACCUCAAUUGGCCCAGAAUUAUAAAUUUUUAAUUUUGUACAGGGUUUACCUAAUUAGUUAAAGGUAGUUGCAUCUCUCUUCAACUACUUUCCUUCAGGAAAAAAGCUAUUUCAACCCUAUCUCACUUAAGUGAAGAAUACAGGUACGUUAUGUAAGUUUUGACAUAAUUAGCCACUUCAUUAAUGAAAUAAUUGAACUUCCUUAAUCAAAGGUAGAACUUCUUACUUAAAGCUUAGCUUGAAGAAUCAAAUGGGCAUAACAGUAGGAGGUACAAAGAUUGGUUUGGAGACAGGAAAAAAAAUUAAUGAGGGAGAGAUCUUUUCUCAUUAAACUACUAAUUCUGUAAGGCUAUAUUCUAUUUUUAAUUUUUACUUCCCAUCAUCAUUUUCACCACAGUUAAUAUUGUUAACUGCUAAUAUCAGAUGAGUACCAUACAUAAUGCAUGCAAGACAAUCUCAAAGGACUAGCAGAAGAAUUGUAGACUGUUUGCCGGGAUUAUGGUUAGUCCUUGAUUUCUUGUAUUGACAGAGAGAAGCCUGAAAGCAAAUUCUAUGAAUUCAGGGAUAAGCCUAGACUCUCCAUUAGGCAUUGUCCUCAACUGUUUUAGCACCCUAAUAUUUUCAGACUAGGGGGGCUCAAUUAGGAUAGAAAGCAAUAGAAGUACUGUACUUGAUUUUUCCCCCAAACACCUAAAAUUUACACAAGAACUGGUUUCUGGCUAUGAGCAAAUCUCAAGCACACUCUUAGGCAAGCACUUAAAAUGUACUAAUAGUCUGGUGGUAGAAGUAGGAAGGUGGUUCAUUAGCAUAUGCUUAUCAAUUAUCUGCAUAAAUAGCUCUUUUUAUCACUUCGUUGUCCAGGCUUUUUCUCACUUGGUAGCUGGCAGAAAGCCAUUGCAAUCUAGGUGUUGCUCAGAUUACAGAGUUUCCCACCUCUGCAUUCCUUAGUGUUCUGUAGUACGGAAGGGUUAAAGAGCAAAAAAACCACAAACAGAUGUCAAGUGUAAUGAUAAGUAAAACUGGUGCACUAGAGUUCUGCAAGUUUAGUAGCGUAACCAUACACCAGUAACCCAUUAGACAAGUAUGAUGAUGUAAUUUAUUCAUCCAUGCUAACUUUUAGUGACUAUGUCAAGAUGCGUUGUAAGAUGUCUACAAAUAAUGUGAUCUAAAAGCUUGCAAACAAAUAUUUCAUAGGUUAGAACAGAUCCCUUUAAUAAUGUCAUGAUCACUUUAUGUUAUAAUUUCUUUUCUUUGAGUGGGAAAGUAGUAGAAAGCCUUGAUGUGCAAAAUUGUGUCAAAUUCUUGGUUUAUUCUUCAAAAUGCAUCCUAUGCUUUGGUGCCUUGCCAUCUGUCUUGUCCAGCCAGACUAAACAAUGUCAACAUUUGCCUGAAGAAGGAAGGACCCAAGGAGAGGAGCUCGGAUGUGUUGGGAGGGCCUGAUAGAAGCCUGACACCAUAGACAACCUAGCCCAGAGUCAGGCCUUUCCAUGGAUGUGCAGAGAGGAUUUCUCUUCUUUGUCCCUUCAUUGUUUCUCUUGAAUAUUUACUCUAGGAUGUUACUUUGGGGUGAAAUAUCUUCAUCGUGACAGUGCAAAUAAAAAGUGGCAAAGUCUGAAUUAAAACUAAACUCUGGGCCUAUGUGUGCACAUAAAAGAGAUGAAUAUUACCUAGGGUGAUCACAUCCUGAAAGGAAGGUGGCCAGUUUCCCCAGGGAGGGAUUAAUCCUCCUUAGAUUCUCUGGGGCUUGUAGCCUGUGAGAAAGACAGAGUCUGAGAGCAAGUACAGCACCAGUGGAUCCUCUAGGCACCAGCCUAAUGCAGGCAGGCCCAGAGUCUUGGGAGAAUGGGUUUGUGUAGCAUCUCCACUUCUCACAGGAAGGAAGGCUACCAGGGGCUGUGGUCUUCCUCUCUGUGCUGGGAGUCAGCAGAGGGGCUUUUGGCUUGAGCAUAUGGGCACCUUGCUCUGGUCCUCUCGUUCUUUUGGUGACCGCCCCACUGCAUGCAACCUUUCCACACAACCUUCUUGUAACACUCUGGGUUUUAGAGUUUUUGAAAUUAUACUUUAAUAAAUAGAAGCCUAGAGUAGUCCCUGCUAGUGCUUGCCCCUUUGUCCUUACCCUUCUUAUUAAAUUCUCAGUUGCUUAGAGUAAAAGAAGUAGCAUCGGUGUGGAAAACUAGAAACCUUGAACGGCAGUCCCAAUGGGCUCCAGACUUCGGUUUCCCCAGCAAUAGUAGCCAAGCUGCACGAACAGCACCUCUCUUUCCUUGCAGCUCAUUUAAACACACAUACAUGUAUAUUAUGUGCAUAUAUGUACACAUAUGUAUGUAUACACAUACAUGUGACUUGUGUGAUAAUACUUAAUACCUUGAUAGACUUAUAAUUUUAUUUUUACUGGUGCCCUAAAUUACAAUAAGACACUACAAUUUGUACCCAAGUCUCUCUAACUCUAAAGACAAAGCUCUUUCUUUCAGCAUACUACCUUC